GCCCGCUCAGAAACUUAAAUGAAUUCGAGGGGCCCGCACAAGCGGUGGAGCAUGUGGUUUAAUUCGAUGGUACGCGAGGAACCUUACCAGGGCUUGACAUACGUUGGAAGCGCAUCGAAAGGUGCGUGCCGCUUGCGGCCGGCGUACAGGUGCUGCAUGGCUGUCGUCAGCUCGUGCUGUGAAGUGUUGGGUUAAGUCCCGCAAACGAGCGCAACCCCUGCUGCCUGUUGCCACCACGAGAGGUGGGGACUCAGGCGGGACCGCCGGUGACAAACCGGAGGAAGGUGGGGACGACGUCAAGUCAUCAUGGCCCUUAUGUCCUGGGCUACACACGUGCUACAAUGGCCGGUACAGAGCGCAGCGAGGCCGCGAGGCGGAGCGAAUCGCUUAAAGCCGGUCCCAGUACGGAUUGGAGUCUGCAACCCGACUCCAUGAAGUUGGAAUCGCUAGUAAUCGCGCAUCAGCAUGGCGCGGUGAAUACGUUCCCGGGCCUU
This 494-nucleotide ribosomal RNA is filed under the name uncultured Spirochaeta sp. RNAcentral's name for it is "bacterial SSU rRNA". It matches the Rfam family "Bacterial small subunit ribosomal RNA", at positions 887 to 1382 of the family's 1533-position model. Lineage: Bacteria; Pseudomonadati; Spirochaetota; Spirochaetia; Spirochaetales; Spirochaetaceae. The record is from RNAcentral.